Callithrix jacchus (white-tufted-ear marmoset) is the source of this 107-nucleotide small nuclear RNA. NCBI's taxonomy places the organism in Eukaryota, Metazoa, Chordata, Mammalia, Primates, Cebidae. The record is from Ensembl.
GUGCUUGCUUCGGCAGCACAUAUACCAUAAUUGGAACAAUACAGAGAAUAUUAGCAUGGCCCCUGUGCAAGGAUAAUACACAAAUUCAUGAAGCAUUCCAUAUUUUU